Molecule: small nucleolar RNA, 88 nt
Organism: Nematolebias whitei (Rio pearlfish)
Lineage: Eukaryota; Metazoa; Chordata; Actinopteri; Cyprinodontiformes; Rivulidae
Product: small nucleolar RNA SNORD70
Exons: 1
Source: RefSeq, a predicted model, not a curated record
UGAAGUCUGGUCUAUGAUGCAUUUUAGUGUCUGAAUGAAACAUGAAGCAUUUCAAAGCAAUCGUCACUACCACUGAGACCACACUCUU